RNAcentral lists this ribosomal RNA (497 nucleotides) under uncultured bacterium. RNAcentral describes it as "partial 16S ribosomal RNA". It matches the Rfam family "Bacterial small subunit ribosomal RNA", at positions 28 to 507 of the family's 1533-position model. The record is from RNAcentral.
GAUGAACGCUGGCGGCGUGCCUAAUACAUGCAAGUCGAGCGAACAAAUGAGGAGCUUGCUCCUCUGACGUUAACGGCUGACGGGUUAGUAACACGUGGAUAACCUACCUAUAAGACUGGGAUAACUUCGGGAACCCGGAGCUAAUACCGUAUAAUAUAUUGAACCGCAUGGUUCAAUAGUGACAGACGGUUUUUCUGUCACUUAUACAUUGACCCGUGGCGCAUUAGCUAGUUGGUAAGGUAACGGCUUACCAAGGCGACGAUGCGUAGCCGACCUGAGAGGGUGAUCGGCCACACUGGAACUGAGACACGGUCCAGACUCCUACGGGAGGCAGCAGUAGGGAAUCUUCCGCAAUGGGCGAAAGCCUGACGGAGCAACGCCGCGUGAGUGAUGAAGGUCUUCGGAUCGUAAAACUCUGUUAUUAGGGAAGAACAAUUGUGUAAGUAACUAUGCACGUCUUGACGGUACCUAAUCAGAAAGCCACGGCUAACUACGUG